AGUGAACGCUGGCGGUAGGCCUAACACAUGCAAGUCGAACGGCAGCACAGUAAGAGCUUGCUCUUACGGGUGGUGAGUGGCGGACGGGUGAGGAAUACAUCGGAAUCUACUUUUUCGUGGGGGAUAACGUAGGGAAACUUACGCUAAUACCGCAUACGACCUACGGGUGAAAGCAGGGGAUCUUCGGACCUUGCGCGAUUGAAUGAGCCGAUGUCGGAUUAGCUAGUUGGCGGGGUAAAGGCCCACCAAGGCGACGAUCCGUAGCUGGUCUGAGAGGAUGAUCAGCCACGCUGGAACUGAGACACGGUCCAGACUCCUACGGGAGGCAGCAGUGGGGAAUAUUGGACAAUGGGCGCAAGCCUGAUCCAGCCAUACCGCGUGGGUGAAGAAGGCCUUCGGGUUGUAAAGCCCUUUUGUUGGGAAAGAAAAGCAGCAGGUUAAUACCCCGCUGUUCUGACGGUACCCAAAGAAUAAGCACCGGCUAACUUCGUG
This 492-nucleotide ribosomal RNA is filed under the name uncultured bacterium. RNAcentral describes it as "partial 16S ribosomal RNA". It matches the Rfam family "Bacterial small subunit ribosomal RNA", at positions 29 to 507 of the family's 1533-position model. The record is from RNAcentral.